Molecule: ribosomal RNA, 460 nt
Filed under: uncultured bacterium
Lineage: Bacteria
Description: partial 16S ribosomal RNA
Rfam family: Bacterial small subunit ribosomal RNA
Source: RNAcentral
CCUACGGGAGGCAGCAGUGAGGAAUAUUGGUCAAUGGGCGCGAGCCUGAACCAGCCAAGUAGCGUGAAGGAUGACUGCCCUACGGAUUGUAAACUUCUUUUAUAAAGGAAUAAAGUGAGGCACGUGUGCCUUUUUGUAUGUACUUUAUGAAUAAGGAUCGGCUAACUCCGUGCCAGCAGCCGCGGUAAUACGGAGGAUCCGAGCGUUAUCCGGAUUUAUUGGGUUUAAAGGGAGCGUAGAUGGGUUUUUAAGUCAGUGGUGAAAGUUUGCGGCUCAACCAUAAAAUUGCAAUUGAUACUGGCAGCCUUGAGUACAGUUGAGGUAGGCGGAAUGCGUGGUGUAGCGGUGAAAUGCUUAGUUAUCACGAAGAACCCCGAUUGCGAAGGCAGCUUACUAAGCUGCCACUGACAUUGAUGCUCGAAAGUGUGGGUAUCAAACAGGAUUAGAUACCCGUGUAGUC